This 297-nucleotide ribosomal RNA is filed under the name uncultured bacterium. Its description in RNAcentral is "partial 16S ribosomal RNA". It matches the Rfam family "Bacterial small subunit ribosomal RNA", at positions 28 to 334 of the family's 1533-position model. The record is from RNAcentral.
GACGAACGCUGGCGGCAUGCCUAACACAUGCAAGUCGAACGGAAGUAGCAAUACUUUAGUGGCGAACGGGUGAGUAACACGUGAGCAACCUGCCCUAUACAACGGGAUAACACAGAGAAAUUUGUGCUAAUACGGUAUAAGACCACAGUAUCGCAUGAUACAGGGGUAAAAGAUUUAUCGGUAUAGGAUGGGCUCGCGACCCAUUAGCUAGUUGGUGAGGUAACGGCCCACCAAGGCAACGAUGGGUAGCCGACCUGAGAGGGUGAUCGGCCACACUGGGACUGAGACACGGCCCAG